UGGGGAAUAUUGGACAAGGGGCGAAAGCCUGAUCCAGCCAUGCCGCGUGUGUGAAGAAGGUCUUCGGAUUGUAAAGCACUUUACGUUGGGAGGAAGGGCAUUAACCUAAUACGUUAGUGUUUUGACGUUACCGACAGAAUAAGCACCGGCUAACUCUGUGCCAGCAGCCGCGGUAAUACAGAGGGUGCAAGCGUUAAUCGGAAUUACUGGGCGUAAAGCGCGCGUAGGUGGUUUGUUAAGUUGGAUGUGAAAUCCCCGGGCUCAACCUGGGAACUGCAUUCAAAACUGACUGACUAGAGUAUGGUAGAGGGUGGUGGAAUUUCCUGUGUAGCGGUGAAAUGCGUAGAUAUAGGAAGGAACACCAGUGGCGAAGGCGACCACCUGGACUAAUACUGACACUGAGGUGCGAAAGCGUGGGGAGCAAACA
RNAcentral lists this ribosomal RNA (427 nucleotides) under uncultured bacterium. RNAcentral's name for it is "partial 16S ribosomal RNA". It matches the Rfam family "Bacterial small subunit ribosomal RNA", at positions 355 to 774 of the family's 1533-position model. The record is from RNAcentral.